This 2552-nucleotide long non-coding RNA is filed under the name Triticum aestivum (bread wheat). RNAcentral's name for it is "long non-coding RNA (TAES_LNC020952)". The record is from RNAcentral. Lineage: Eukaryota; Viridiplantae; Streptophyta; Magnoliopsida; Poales; Poaceae.
ACACCGACACCAAUGCUUACGGCUCCCAGCACUGAAGUCCAUGCAGUCAGCUUCUGAUGCUUCAUCCUGUGCAAGUUGUACAUGUGCUUGGCGUGGAGGUAGUAUGGCUCAUCAUGGCCGUGCCCUGACAUCCUCUUCACGCCGGUAGCAUGGAAUCCACGUGAAGCUGAUGUACACACAAAGAACAGGUAAUCAGCAAGCAUGAGCGAAUUUAGAGAUGUAAAAAGGAGUUCGCAACUCAUUCAAUCCCCACAACUAACAUGCCCAGUUCUCCUAAACUACCACAGCAAACUUCAGUUCUUCACAUUUUCAUGCUGCAUUGCUGUAGUCACCUCUAGAGUGUUUAUAAUGAUCCAUGAGGUCCACUGCCUUAUGCCAAGAAUUCUGCAUUAGUAUCAUUUUUACUAUUUUCGAGCAUAAUUGAUGAGUUAAGACAAAAGUCGUGUCCAGCAUGUCAGUUAGUACAGAAGGAAUACUGGUAGCAACGAAAAUCCAAAACAAAUCGAUAAUUAAAACACACAUGAAGAUACAAAUAAAUAAGAGGCUAUGUAAAGCACAGAAGAACAAAUAGAAAUCACAAGCACCAAAACCCUGGUGGAUAUUGAUGACAUGCCAGAAUCCGACUAUUAGUCUCUAAGUGUAUGUGUGAUGGUUCUUUAUGAGCAUCUAUGACACAUGAUGCUCAGCUAAAUUCCAUCAACCUUAUUAUUUGUCCAUAUUUACAGCAGAAAGCACCUCAAGCAGCCUACCAAGAAUUAGGACAUGGAUGAGCAAAAAGGGUUAACAGUAUCAUGUCACAGUACUAGUCUCCCAGGUGUAUGUGUGAUGGUUCUUUAUGAGCUUCUAUGACACAUGAUGCUCACCUAAAUUCCAUCAAUCUUAUUAUUUGCCCAUAUUUACAGCAGAAAGCAACUCAAGCAGCCUACCAAGAAUUAGAACAUGGAUGAGCAAAAAGGGUGAACAGUAUCAUGUAACAGUACUAGUCUCCCAGGUGUAUGGGUGAUGAUCAUGUAUGAGCAUCUGUGGCUCACAUGAUGAUCACCUAAAUUCUAUCGACCUUUAUUACUUGUCCAUGUUAACAGUCAGCACAAAUCAAACAUCCUACCAAGUAUUAGAAAACAGAUGAGCAAAAAGGGUUACAGUGUCAUAAGAAGAGUAAUAUUUUAGCAUGAAACGCUUUGCAGGCUAUGUUUUGUUUCGGCAUAUAGAUGAGCAAACUAGCAGUACAAGGUUGCCAGUAAGCUUGAAAGUGAUUUGGUUAAAGCUGGUAGUUAAGAAACAUAUUGAGUGGUAUUCUUUUUCGUCACCCGCACAAAAAAAAAGAAUGCAUGUGUAAUGUUCUUUCAGGAGCACCUGCCACUCACGUAAUUCUCAUGUACAUUCCAUAAAUUUUAGUCUUUGUCCCUAUCUACAGCAAGACAGAACUCAUGUGUCUUGCCAAGAAUUAAACACUACAAAUUAUGAACAGAAGUUGUUUCACUGCCAUAAGAUACACAUUUUAUUAUUUAGUAACAAAAGAUGAAUGCAACUCAUGUAGCAUACACAUAAUUAUGAGACUCUAACUGACAAGGAAAUAGGAUUAAAUGCCAUAAGCUAUGUAGUAUUUUCCUCACAGAAAGAUAAGUAUUGAAAUACUGGUAGUCUGUUUCCUGUUUUUCUUGCAUAGAGAUGAACAAACUAGCAAUGCAAAAUUGCCAAUUAAAAAUGAUCAAGCUGCUAGUUCAGAAAUAUAUUUUGUCUGGUUCUUGUCUCUAAGAACGCAUGUCCGAUAAUCCUUUAUGAGCAUCUACAACUCACACGAUACUCACCUAAAUUUCAUCAACAUCACUCUUUGUCCAUAUUUACAGCAAUACGCAACUCAUGCGGCUUGCCAAGAAAUAGACAUUACAAUCAAAUUUUGUUACACUGUCAUCACAGCUAACAGUCUAAGUUAUCGGUGUAGUACGUCAGUUCAUGAAUGAUAAAAUGGUCAGUCAACAAAUUGUGUGUCAGUCCUUCUAGUACUCCCCACCCAUAUUCAUUCCUGACAAGGCUAGUCGCUGGAUCCAUCCAUCAAAGAAGGACAAUGUAAAAAACUGAUUAUAUAAUAACCAGUUCAAUCGAAAACCACAGCCAUAUCCACAUCUGAGGGCCCAUUUUAGCCUAUGACGAACCAUUUCCCCAAAUUAUAUUAACGAUCCCAAAACAGCCCGGUACUACGGUUACAGAUUCCGAGUAAUUUCCACGGGUCAAACAGAUCUACCGCUGCGCAGAUACACAUCAAUCGAGAUGGGCAGAAGUACACAGCCGGAGACGCGGAUCGCAUCAUUCAAACCCCAAUCGGAUAAUAGAGGAGGGAUAGUGGGAGGGGGGGUACUUGCCUGGCUUGGAGGCCUCGGCGCCGGUGGCGAGGAGGCGGAUCCCGGAGCGGAGGCCGCGGUUGAGAGCAGUCGCCAUCGCCUUCGUGCUCGUGUUCGUCUGGUCGCCGCCGCCGGAGUUGUGGUGGUGGGUGCGUUUUGGGGGUGAUUUAACCGAUCUGCUGCGACUCGGCUUUCGAGGGUUGUGCCCUUGCG